GAUGAAUGCUGGCGGCGUGCCUAAUACAUGCGAGUCGAGCGAACAGACGAGGAGCUUGCUCCUCUGACGUUAGCGGCGGACGGGUGAGUAACACGUGGAUAACCUACCUAUAAGACUGGGAUAACUUCGGGAAACCGGAGCUAAUACCGGAUAAUAUAUUGAACCGCAUGGUUCAAUAGUGAAAGACGGUUUUGCUGUCACUUAUAGAUGGAUCCGCGCCGCAUUAGCUAGUUGGUAAGGUAACGGCUUACCAAGGCAACGAUGCGUAGCCGACCUGAGAGGGUGAUCGGCCACACUGGAACUGAGACACGGUCCAGACUCCUACGGGAGGCAGCAGUAGGGAAUCUUCCGCAAUGGGCGAAAGCCUGACGGAGCAACGCCGCGUGAGUGAUGAAGGUCUUCGGAUCGUAAAACUCUGUUAUUAGGGAAGAACAAAUGUGUAAGUAACUAUGCACGUCUUGACGGUACCUAAUCAGAAAGCCACGGCUAACUACGUG
RNAcentral lists this ribosomal RNA (497 nucleotides) under uncultured bacterium. RNAcentral's name for it is "partial 16S ribosomal RNA". It matches the Rfam family "Bacterial small subunit ribosomal RNA", at positions 28 to 507 of the family's 1533-position model. The record is from RNAcentral.